RNAcentral lists this ribosomal RNA (462 nucleotides) under Xylophis mosaicus. Its description in RNAcentral is "partial large subunit ribosomal RNA". It matches the Rfam family "Bacterial large subunit ribosomal RNA", at positions 1819 to 2559 of the family's 2925-position model. The record is from RNAcentral. Lineage: Eukaryota; Metazoa; Chordata; Lepidosauria; Squamata; Pareidae.
CCUUUAGCUAAACAAAUAUUAAAGGCAACGCCUGCCCAGUGAAUAAUUAAACGGCCGCGGUACCCUAACCGUGCAAAGGUAGCGUAAUCAUUUGUCUAUUAAUUGUAGACCUGUAUGAAAGGCAAAAUGAGAGUCUAACUGUCUCUUAUAGUAAAUCAAUUAAACUGAUCUCCUAGUACAAAAGCUAGAAUACCAACAUAAGACCAGAAGACCCUGUGAAGCUUUAACUAACCCAUUAAACCCUUUAAUGGGUACUUUUGGUUGGGGCGACCUUGGAAAAAAAAGAAACUUCCAAAUAAUGACGAUAGUCACCAACAGGCCAACAAGCCAUCACAAGACCCAGUAUACCUGAUAAUUGAACCAAGUUACUCCAGGGAUAACAGCGCCAUCUUCUUCAAGAGCCCAUAUCAAAAAGAAGGUUUACGACCUCGAUGUUGGAUCAGGACAUCCUGGUGGUGAAGC